GUAGCAAUACUUAGUGGCAGACGGGUGAGUAACAUGUAGNUAUCUGCCCUUUGGCCUGGAAUAACACGAGGAAACUUGUGCUAAUACCGGAUAAGUCUUUACGGAGAAAGCUUUAUGCACCAUUGGAUGAGCCUGCACUUGAUUAGUUUGUUGGUGGGGUAAUGGCCUACCAAGACUGUGAUCAAUAGCUGAUUUGAGAGGAUGAUCAGCCACAUUGGGACUGAGACACGGCCCAAACUCCUACGGGAGGCAGCAGUGGGGAAUCUUGCACAAUGGAGGAAACUCUGAUGCAGCGAUGCCGCGUGAGUGAAGAAGGCCUUUGGGUUGUAAAGCUCUUUCGUCGGGGAAGAAAAUGACUGUACCCGAAUAAGAAGGUCCGGCUAACUUCGUGCCAGCAGCCGCGGUAAUACGAAGGGACCUAGCGUAGUUCGGAAUUACUGGGCUUAAAGAGUUCGUAGGUGGUUGAAAUAGUUGGUGGUGAAAUCCCAGGGCUUAACUCUGGAACUGCCAUCAAAACUUUUCAGCUAGAGUAUGAUAGAGGAAAGCAGAAUUUCUAGUGUAGAGGUGAAAUUCGUAGAUAUUAGAAAGAAUACCAAUUGCGAAGGCAGCUUUCUGGAUCAUUACUGACACUGAGGAACGAAAGCAUGGGUAGCGAAGAGGAUUAGAUACCCUCGUAGUCCAUGCCGUAAACGAUGUGUGUUAGACGUUGGAAAUUUAUUUUCAGUGUCGCAGGGAAACCGAUAAACACACCGCCUGGGGAGUACGACCGCAAGGUUAAAACUCAAAUGAUUUGACGGGGACCCGCACAAGUAGUGGGAGCAUGNGGGUUAAUUUCAAAAUACNCGCANAACCUUACCAACACUUGACAUGUUCGUCGCGACUCUAAAGAA
This 890-nucleotide ribosomal RNA is filed under the name bacterium HTCC8041. RNAcentral's name for it is "bacterial SSU rRNA". It matches the Rfam family "Bacterial small subunit ribosomal RNA", at positions 82 to 1009 of the family's 1533-position model. The record is from RNAcentral.